RNAcentral lists this ribosomal RNA (745 nucleotides) under Tubakia iowensis. RNAcentral describes it as "eukaryotic LSU rRNA". It matches the Rfam family "Eukaryotic large subunit ribosomal RNA", at positions 101 to 875 of the family's 3401-position model. Lineage: Eukaryota; Fungi; Ascomycota; Sordariomycetes; Diaporthales; Tubakiaceae. The record is from RNAcentral.
GCAACAGCUCAAAUUUGAAAUCUGGCCUCGGCCCGAGUUGUAAUUUGCAGAGGAUGCUUUUGGUGCGGUGCCUUCCGAGUUCCCUGGAACGGGACGCCACAGAGGGUGAGAGCCCCGUAUGGUCGGACACCAAUCCUGUGUAAAGCUCCUUCGACGAGUCGAGUAGUUUGGGAAUGCUGCUCUAAAUGGGAGGUAAAUCUCUUCUAAAGCUAAAUACCGGCCAGAGACCGAUAGCGCACAAGUAGAGUGAUCGAAAGAUGAAAAGCACCUUGAAAAGGGGGUUAAACAGUACGUGAAAUUGUUGAAAGGGAAGCACUUGUGACCAGACUUGGGCCGGGCGGCUCAUCAGGGGUUCUCCCCUGUGCAUUCCGCCCGGUACAGGCCAGCAUCGGUUCUUACCGGGGGAUAAGAACGGCAGGAACGUGGCUCCCCCUCGGGGGAGUGUUAUAGCCUGCCGUACGAUACCCUGGCGGGGACCGAGGUUCGCGCUUCCGCAAGGAUGCUGGCGUAAUGGUUACUAGUGACCCGUCUUGAAACACGGACCAAGGAGUCGUCCAUUAGAGCGAGCGUUUGGGUGUAAAACCCGCACGCGUAAUGAAAGUGAAAUUAGGUGAGAGCUUCGGCGCAUCAUCGACCGAUCCUGAUGUUCUCGGAUGGAUUUGAGUAAGAGUUUUAACGGACGGACCCGAAAGACAGUGAACUAUGCUUGUAUAGGGUGAAGCCAGAGGAAACUCUGGUGGAGGCU